ACCCAAUUUAAUUUGCUAGGGUUUUCUCGUUGAACCCAGAAGAGGGAAAAACAAAUAAAAAACAGCCCUCUUAUGCAUUGUGUCGCGAUGAAUUCGUCAAUCCACGUACGUCGUCGAAGCAUGUGUUCUUAAUUCUUCUUUUUCGCAGAAUCGUGAGAGAGAUCAUUUUAGAGAGAAAGUGAAAGGAGAGAGAUUUCAUUAUCAUCGUCUAUUUUGCCACGACCUCCACCUCUGCAUGCUGAAGCUAAUUCCAUCUUUACCUGGGUCUCUUUGAACAGACCACACUCAUGAAUCUCGGGCUCCAUAUCAAGCUUCCGUAGCCAUGGGGUUUGAUUCCGAGAAGCAAUCGAUUCUUCUGCUGGACAGGUUUCACACUUCUUGUUACACAUCCUCUUUUAUUAUUUUGAUUCCCCUUCCUUGUUUGAUUUCUGCUCGCGAGCUGGGUUUUGUUUGUUCGAUUCUUCUCCCGAUCGAUUUAAGGGCUUGAAAGAGUUUUGAAUGCAGUAGAUAGGUUAGGGUUUGGCUUUGAGUGGGAAAAUAAUUGUGGAUGUUUCUGUAAUGUGUGGAAGUUGCGAAACUAGGAUUUUAUAUUCAAACAUAAAAUUAAAUAAUGUUUUAUACGAUUUUUCCAACAGCACAAACAUCCAAAUGAUUUAGUAUCUGAGUGGUAACUAUACUCUUACUUUAGUCUUUAUUUCUGCUCCAUGGAUUCAUCCAACUUUACUUUUUAUUGUUUCGUUACUUCUCUACAAGGAGCUCCUAAUUUGGACGUUGAUUAAAGUUCAAGGUACUGCCGUUGGACUACCCAUCGAAUAUGAUAUGGGAAACAAUUUAGCUUAAAUUGCAGACUUGACAUCUAUUUGGACUUUUUUGUGCCACUCUUUCAUCUCUUUAACCAGUCUUAAAUCGAUCAGCAUCUGAAAUUACUUAUUUCCCACAUUUUGAUUUUUGAUAACGUAUGGUUUUGAGUCAUAGAUGUUGAUUCUGAUUCACCAGAUUGAUAGCUUCAUAUGUUUUGGGAUUCUCGCCAUAUGUGGAUCUACUGUCUGCAGAAAUUUCUGCUAAAAGAACAUAAGAAAUGGAGGAUUCCAUUUGUUGAUAAGAUUUCAUUUAAAUCAGCAUAUCCAUGUGAGCAUAACUAAAUGCACAUAAAAAAUGGAGGAAAAGAAAGAACAUAAUUUGUUGAUAAGAUUCCAUUUAAAUCAUUAUGUCCAUGUGAGCAUAAUUAAAUGGACAAAAGAAAGUUGCAUGAACGAAUUUUAUUUCAGAUGAAUAGGCCUGAAUUUGGCAAUCUGAUUAAUGAAAGCUGCUCUUAUCAAAGAUGGAUGAUGUUUGUAGUGGUAGAUUUGAAGGAAAAAACAAAUUAUGGUACAAAUGAUAGAGCGUCAACGCAAAUCUUCUUGUCGGCUAUCUUCGGUUUUUUAGUGAAUCAUUAUAACAGUUCCAAAGGAUGUAGUCUCCCGCAAACGAGAACAUGCGGAUAUCACUUCGUCUUGUCGACUAUAAUCGGGGUUUCAGUGUAUAAUUUCAGUACCUUCAAAUGAUAUGAGUCCACGCAAGUGCGAACAUGUGGAUCUCUCUCCCCUUACUAGAGGUUUUCUGGUUUUCAGGUUUUCAGUGUAUAAUUUUAGCAUUAACGAUUGUCCAUAUAUAUUGUACUAUAUAUAUUGUACUAUAUGAACACUAUCAACGAACAUAAACAACACUUGUUUUAGGCACUUUUUUCUUGUCGUUGAUUUUAUUCUACUUUUGUAUACAUAUAUUUAUCCAAUUGUACUUGCAUGGAUGCUAUCAAGCCUUAUCUACCAUCGAGAACUAAAGACCAAGAGUUAUACAAGAACCAUUGUUUCAGAUUUAUAUUAUGAAAUUGACC
RNAcentral lists this long non-coding RNA (1873 nucleotides) under Eutrema salsugineum. RNAcentral describes it as "long non-coding RNA (ESAL_LNC001793)". The record is from RNAcentral. Lineage: Eukaryota; Viridiplantae; Streptophyta; Magnoliopsida; Brassicales; Brassicaceae.